CGAAAACGGUCUCAUCCUCUAAAGGCAUUUGUUCUGGUGCCACCUUUGUGAAUUGCAACGCAUCAUGGAAUUAAUUGAUUUCCCAGUUGAGAAACUUUAUAAUCUAAGAAAUUAGGAAUAUGCUACCAAUAUUGUUAACGACUAUUAAAGUGCCAGCAGUCGCGGUCAUACUUUAGUUAAAAAUAAACUUCAUUAGGACACGAAGAAAUAAUAAUUAUCCUGUAGUGAAAUACGGUCAAAUAUACCUAAAUAUCUCUAUUUUGACAAACACUGAUUACAGACAGGGAUUAGAUACCCCUUUAUGCAGUUAGUAACUCACGUCCUGGGCACUACAAUUAGCAGAUUGAAACCCAACGAACAUGGCGGUAAUUUAAAUAUUCAGGGGAACUUACUAAGUAAUUGAUAACCACCAAGAAUAUGUACGCUAAAUCACAUUUUACAUACCGUCGUCGUCAGAUCUAAUUAGAUAGAAUAUCAACAUAUUUACUUAAAUAAAAGGACAGAUCAAGGUGUAGACUAUUUUAACGUUUCAGCGAGUUACAAUAUUUUUUUUUUCCGUAAAAACACUAUAUAGUGUUAUAAAGUCGGACUUGAAAGUAAUAUUUAUAGGAAAUAAAAUGUGAAUAAUCUUAAAUUGUGC
RNAcentral lists this ribosomal RNA (640 nucleotides) under Helix thessalica. RNAcentral describes it as "partial 12S ribosomal RNA". The record is from RNAcentral. Lineage: Eukaryota; Metazoa; Mollusca; Gastropoda; Stylommatophora; Helicidae.